CUUCAAUCCCGAUGAGCUAUUAAUUAGUACCAAAACAGAGUUAUUAGCUCAGCACCAAGAACGUCUGGGACUAUAUUUGUAUGAUGGAAAAUUUCUAUUUACUAUUAAUCAAUAUGAUCUCAAUUGUGUCGCAGAACUGAAUAAAUGGAAUCUGAUAUUAAGUAAGAAGCUUAUUAAUGUUCCUGGACGAAUUUUGAAACCUCGAAAAAUUCUAUGCCGUUCAACAAGAUAUAACAUCGGGGGAAAAAGAGAUUGGACUAACAAAUUACAAUCUGUACCAAUGCUUACCUCUUCGGUGGUAAAGCAUUGAGUAAUUUUAACUCCUCGGAACUUUCGGGAAGACGUUGUUGUUUUUACGCAAAAUAUUAUACAAACGGCAAGAAAUAUGUCAUUUAAUCUACCGAAACCUGUUUUAGUCCUCAUGAAUGAUGGAAAAUCAAGUACAUUUUUAAGCAAUAUCGAAAAAGUUAUUAAUAGAAUCAAGCCAGAAUUUAUUUUAUGUGUAAUUUCAUCGUUAAAUUGUUUUAUUUACGAAACGAUUAAAGGUGCUUUAAUAGCAUCAUUGGAUAAUAAUCAUUGUACAUAUUUUAAUAACGUGGAAACACAUGGAAAUCUUUAGGAACUUUCCACUAAUUUUGAAAUUGGAAUAAUUAGUACGAAUUCUUUUUAAUUUCACAACACGUAAAACAAGGUAGUGUAACACCAACACAUUAUAAGCAAUACAAGACACAAUUAUUUUCUACCCGAUAAAUUACAAAAAAUUACAUUCAAGUUAACUCAUAAUUACUUCAAUUGGUCGGGUACCAUACGGGUCCCUGCUACUUGUCAGUUUGCUAACAAAUUGGCGUAUUUUACUGGCGAAACUCUAAGAUGUUCUCCCAAUCCUGGUUUAGAUGAAUCGUUGUUCUUUUUAAAAUGGUUGUACAC
Molecule: long non-coding RNA, 927 nt
Organism: Rhopalosiphum padi (bird cherry-oat aphid)
Lineage: Eukaryota; Metazoa; Arthropoda; Insecta; Hemiptera; Aphididae
Exons: 5
Source: RefSeq, a predicted model, not a curated record